ACGGGAGGCAGCAGUGGGGGAUAUUGCACAAUGGGGGAAACCCUGAUGCAGCAACGCCGCGUGAGGGAAGAAGGUUCUUGGAUUGUAAACCUCUGUCUUUGGGGACGAUAAUGACGGUAUCCAGAGAGGAAGCUCCGGCUAACUACGUGCCAGCAGCCGCGGUAAUACGUAGGGGGCGAGCGUUGUCCGGAAUUACUGGGUGUAAAGGGAGUGUAGGCGGGUUUGUAAGUUGAAUGUGAAAUUUAUGGGCUUAACCCAUAAACUGCGUUCAAAACUGCAAAUCUUGAGUGAAGUAGAGGUAAACGGAAUUCCUAGUGUAGCGGUGAAAUGCGUAGAUAUUAGGAGGAACACCAGUGGCGAAAGCGGUUUACUGGGCUUAUACUGACGCUGAGGCUCGAAAGCGUGGGGAGCAAACAGGAUUAGAUACCCUGGUA
This 434-nucleotide ribosomal RNA is filed under the name uncultured Clostridium sp. Its description in RNAcentral is "partial 16S ribosomal RNA". It matches the Rfam family "Bacterial small subunit ribosomal RNA", at positions 341 to 792 of the family's 1533-position model. The record is from RNAcentral. Lineage: Bacteria; Bacillati; Bacillota; Clostridia; Eubacteriales; Clostridiaceae.